Molecule: ribosomal RNA, 253 nt
Filed under: uncultured bacterium
Lineage: Bacteria
Description: partial 16S ribosomal RNA
Rfam family: Bacterial small subunit ribosomal RNA
Source: RNAcentral
UACAGAGGGGGCUAGCGUUGUUCGGAAUUACUGGGCGUAAAGGGCGCGUAGGUGGCCUGUUAAGUCGAACGUGAAAUCCCCGGGCUCAACCCGGGAACUGCGUCCGAGACUGGCAGGCUCGAAUCCGGGAGAGGGAUGUGGAAUUCCAGGUGUAGCGGUGAAAUGCGUAGAUAUCUGGAGGAACACCGGUGGCGAAGGCGGCAUCCUGGACCGGUAUUGACGCUGAGGCGCGAAAGCUAGGGUAGCAAACGGG